UUCAUCUGUACCCGAGAGAGAUGCGUUAGAAUAAUUUCAAAAACCCAAUAUCAAAAGGUGUGAUCACUCCACUGAGAAGAACAUUUCAUCAUCAUUAUUUGAAACAGUUUGUAGUGGAACUCCAUUCACUCCAUGGACCCUGAAGGACAUAUGUACGACAAAAUGUGGCUUGAACAUCCACAGUAUAAUUGGUUCCAGCUGGAUGACUCAUUUAUGAAUGAGCUGCCUUCUUCACUGACUGUCGUGCUGCAGACUGUUCCAACUGAUGCAA
Molecule: long non-coding RNA, 271 nt
Organism: Maylandia zebra (zebra mbuna)
Lineage: Eukaryota; Metazoa; Chordata; Actinopteri; Cichliformes; Cichlidae
Source: RefSeq, a predicted model, not a curated record